Gordionus sp. m RMFG-2023 is the source of this 1327-nucleotide RNA transcript. It is a transcript of the gene named melanopsin-B-like, with no coding region annotated. The transcript is spliced from 9 exons. NCBI's taxonomy places the organism in Eukaryota, Metazoa, Nematomorpha, Gordioida, Chordodea, Parachordodidae. The record is from RefSeq and is a predicted model, not a curated record.
UAUAUAUAGUUAAUCUAGAUAAUUAAUUGGAAAAUUGAUGAGAGAAAAAAUUAUUUAAAAAAUGUUAAAAAUUGGGGAAACAAUGACUGAGGGGAAAUUCAAAUUUUUCUUGCGUUACACAUCCCACACUAUAAAAAAAAGUAAACGUUUUCUAGCUGAAUAUUAUAAGGAUUAUGAUUCAUUUGUAGAACACAGGGGCUUAACAAUUGGACUUAUAUCCAUGCUAGCAAUAUGUAUUAUGAUCGGACCAUUGGGAAAUAUCGCGAUCAUUGGAGGCAUAUAUACUAACAAAAAUUUGUGGAAACCGCUGAAUUUAUUCAUAAUAAAUUUAUCCAUAGCCGAUCUAGUAAUCGUUACCUUUAUCAGUUCUACAUCAAUUACAGGUCUAACGAUAGGCCAUCAAGUCUUUCUCCAAAAUCAUUCAUUAUGCAAUUUUGUUGCGAAUGUUUGCCUUACCGUAUGUGUUGUACAACUUUUAACCCACGCUGUUAUUGCAAUUACCAGGUAUAUCUCUAUUCGUUAUCCUGCGACCUUUAUGAAUAAUGCAACAUGGAGGGCUACUAGCAUGGCUUGUAUCCUCAUAUGGAUCGUAGGAUUUCUGCUUCAAUUCCCACCAAAUGUGGGUUGGGGAAGGAACGUUUUAGACAUCAAAGCCAUGAUCUGUAUAUGGGACAGGACAUAUUCCAUAGGAUACACCCUUUACUUUGCUAUAGUCUAUGUUUUCAUCCCGAUGAGCACUAUAUUUAUUUGUUAUGUCAUGCUUUUCUUACACGUCCGAAAAAUUCGACAAAACAUGAACACCCAACCGAAAAAUUAUCCAUUCAAAACUUACACAUCGAUGAGUAGGAGAAGAUGGAAGCAAGAAAUCAAACUAGCUAAAACACUAUGUGCCCAUUUUGCUACAGUGUUUAUACUAUGGGGACAAUACGCUUUCAUAGUGAUAUUCGAUUACCGCAAUAGGCUACCAACGUGGUUGCAUGCCACCUCUAUUCAAGUAGCCCAUUCGAUUGCUGUUGUCAAUGUUUUCGUUUACAUCUUUAAUAGUUCUUUCCAAGCUGGCAUGAUAGCUUUUUUCACUCGAAAACCCAUCAACCUCAUAUUAUCUGGAACGGGAUCAACAGAUGUUUUACCAAUAGACAUAUCAAAAUCUGAAUUUGGUACAGAAGAAGAAUGUUUAACCAAACUGUAAAACCAGUGAAACAAAAACAGGGCACGUUGGGCAUUGUUUUAUGGUACAUAGGAAUACUCAUGGGGCUCCAUCUAUAAAAUAUGGAAUGGGAAAUCGUUAUUAGAGCUAUUAAGUACAUUUUCUUCCAUUGAAUCUUCC